RNAcentral lists this small nuclear RNA (150 nucleotides) under Marchantia polymorpha subsp. ruderalis. RNAcentral describes it as "U2 spliceosomal RNA". It matches the Rfam family "U2 spliceosomal RNA", at positions 51 to 192 of the family's 192-position model. Rfam says of the family: U2 is a small nuclear RNA (snRNA) component of the spliceosome (involved in pre-mRNA splicing). Complementary binding between U2 snRNA (in an area lying towards the 5' end but 3' to hairpin I) and the branchpoint sequence (BPS) of the intron results the bulging out of an unpaired adenosine, on the BPS, which initiates a nucleophilic attack at the intronic 5' splice site, thus starting the first of two transesterification reactions that mediate splicing. The record is from Rfam by way of RNAcentral. Lineage: Eukaryota; Viridiplantae; Streptophyta; Marchantiopsida; Marchantiales; Marchantiaceae.
AUCCCCUGUUGGAGAUGUUACGAGCGUCCUCGACCCUCACGAUAUUAAUCUUAUUUCUCUCAGGGUGCGGGUCCAAUUCGGCAGCUUGCUGUCGAGGAUCUGCUAGUGUCGCCUCGGAAUUGCACUACCUCCUUGGCCGGCGCAACCCAC